GACGAACGCUGGCGGCGUGCUUAACACAUGCAAGUCGAACGGAAAGGCCCUGCUUUUGUGGGGUGCUCGAGUGGCGAACGGGUGAGUAACACGUGAGUAACCUGCCCUUGACUUUGGGAUAACUUCAGGAAACUGGGGCUAAUACCGGAUAGGAGCUCCUGCUGCAUGGUGGGGGUUGGAAAGUUUCGGCGGUGGGGGAUGGACUCGCGGCUGAGCAGCUUGUUGGUGGGGUAGUGGCUUACCAAGGCUUUGACGGGUAGCCGGCCUGAGAGGGUGACCGGCCACAUUGUGACUGAGAUACGGCCCCGCCUCCUCCGGGAGUCAGCCGUGGGGACUAUUGCCCAAUGGGCGGAAUCCUGCUGCAGCCCCGCCGCGUGCGGGAUGACGGCCUUCGGGUUGUCACCCGCUUUCGCCUGUGACGAAGCGUGCGUGACGGUAAUGGGUAAAGAAGCACCGGCUAACUACGUG
Molecule: ribosomal RNA, 468 nt
Filed under: uncultured bacterium
Lineage: Bacteria
Description: partial 16S ribosomal RNA
Rfam family: Bacterial small subunit ribosomal RNA
Source: RNAcentral